This is a long non-coding RNA of Triticum aestivum (bread wheat), 969 nucleotides long. RefSeq lists it as uncharacterized. The record is from RefSeq and is a predicted model, not a curated record. The transcript has 2 exons. Lineage: Eukaryota; Viridiplantae; Streptophyta; Magnoliopsida; Poales; Poaceae.
UCCAUCACGGGAUGUCCUCGCUGCCAACUACAUCUGCUCCCAUCUACCCCGCCGCCCCGUCUCCCCUGAGUCCCCUCUCCCAAACCCCACGGUGAAUUCAGAUCCGACAUUCCGGUCUGGCGGGGAAGGCAGGUAUUGCGGCCAAGCGACAACGAUGAUGAUAAGGAAGACCCUGGGGCCAUGUGACGGGAGCAAGUCACACAGACACAGGCGCUUCCUGACCAGCAGGAGACGCCGCAAUGGCUGCGAGGAGGAGGUUGCCAAGCGGGAGUGAGGAAUCUCCCGUGGUAGCCGGGGCCGCUGCUGAUUCAGACAAGGCGAGUAAGAGGGAUGCAGGCCAUGCCAGGGCCGCGGAGGCGUCCACCACCGUACAACAUGCAUGGAGAUGAGGUGGCGGCUCGAGCUGCAGCGGGCGCGGCCAUACGAGCUCGUCGUCGGGAGGAGGGAGGCCACCGAGGGCAUCUAGCGGCAAAAGGAUCAGCUUUAGGUACAGAUCGAGCCGGUGCUACUGCUCUCUAGGGCUCUUGCCGCGCUGCACAACUACAAAUGCAGAAUCUGGGGAGGGGUUAUCUGUGGAGAAGGCACGGCUUGGAGAUCUGGAGAGGCUGCUUAAGACGAGGCAGUAUUGUAUCCAGGUUGCUGCCUUGUAACAUGUGGUAUUCCAUGAGCUGUCGAUCAGUUGCAGAAAAUUGUCUUCCAUGUUCUGAGAAAAUGAUUAUCUCUGUAGAUCCUGCCGAGUUAGACAUGCUGCACACGUUUUAACGACAUAUCAGAUUUCCAUUCUUGAAGAUCACAGGUGCAUUGUGUCUUAUAUUUUUUAGAACAAUUAAAAAUAUGUAGUAGAUGCAACUGCAGACCUAGGAUUUAGUUCAUGUCCUUUGUGGGUACGCCCAGGAUAAGAUGGUACUGGUCAAGAUGUAUGUUGAUCUUAGCCGCUUCUUAUGGACACAUGAGAAUUUUUUGUUUUCC